GACAUUUUAAUCAUUAAAGAGAUAAAUUAAUUUACUUUUUAAAAUUUUAUUUCUAAUGGCAUACCUAUGUAAUUAUUUACAAAAAUUAAGGUUACAUUUAAAAUGUACUUCCCAAAUAAUAUAGUAGGAUACAUUGGCUCCGAUUGGUAACCACUUUUGAGAAAAAGAAUGAGUAGAAAAGUUGUGUUCUUCUUUGUUCCUUAGUUUUUUUUACCAUUUACAAUGUAUUUUUGUUCCAUUUUCAGACAUGUGGGUCCUACAUUUUUCCUCAUCAUUCCUCAAAAAAAAAGAAUGAUAGAACAAAAUUGUUCCAUCCCAAAAUUGUAGAGGAACCAAGAGGAACAAAAAAGUAAAAUUCGUUUUUAUU
Molecule: small RNA, 367 nt
Filed under: Arabidopsis thaliana (thale cress)
Lineage: Eukaryota; Viridiplantae; Streptophyta; Magnoliopsida; Brassicales; Brassicaceae
Description: ATSL253480
Source: RNAcentral